GUGCUCGCUUCGGCAGCACAUAUACUAAAAUUGGAACGAUACAGAGAUUAGCAUGGCCCCUGCGCAAGGAUGACACGCAAAUUUGUGAAGCGUUCCAUAUUUUU
Bison bison bison is the source of this 104-nucleotide small nuclear RNA. Lineage: Eukaryota; Metazoa; Chordata; Mammalia; Artiodactyla; Bovidae. The record is from Ensembl.